GAUGAAGAACGCAGCGAAAUGCGAUAAGUAGUGUGAAUUGCAGAAUUCAGUGAAUCAUCGAAUCUUUGAACGCACAUUGCGCCCCUCGGUAUUCCGUGGGGCAUGCCUGUUCGAGCGUCAUUUAACCCCUCAAGCCUAGCUUGGUAUUGGGUGCUUGUCCCGCCUCUCGCGCGGCGACUCACCUCAAAGUCAUUGGCAGCCCGCAUCUCGCCGGCCGUGAGCGCAGCACAGACGCGCUCUUGGCAACGACGGAUCGGCUCUCCAAAAGCUUAUUUCAACCACUGACCUCGGAUCAGGUAGGGAAACCCGCUGAACUUAAGCAUAUCAAUAAGCGGAGGA
Molecule: unclassified non-coding RNA, 339 nt
Filed under: soil metagenome
Description: partial contains 5.8S ribosomal RNA, internal transcribed spacer 2, and large subunit ribosomal RNA
Rfam family: 5.8S ribosomal RNA (bases 1-120)
Source: RNAcentral